UUUAUGGGGAACCUCUGGGGAAGACUUUCAUCCAAAAACACUAUUGAUUUAACAGUUCCAGGAAUUACACAGCAAAAUAAACAAGAACUAAAUGCUUGCAUUGGCUUGAACAAAAGGAUUAUGCAAGAGAUCCCCCACACACACACCAAUUUCACUGCCUUUUUUAUAACUUCCUAUGAAGUCUGCUGACAGGCAGGAAUAUUUUAAAGGCCCUCAGAGAUGGAAGUGGCAGCAGAGUAAGCAGCUAGAACUUGCUUACAAAUUCAAAGCUCCUCUCCUGAAAGCUUUUGUGGACCAGCAUUUAUGACCAGUUAUGCUAUCUGCUACCUAUUGGAGGAGCAGAGCAAGAUGUGCCAGUUUUCACAGUUCAGCCCAUACACCUUAUUUUGUCUAAGUCAGGCUGGACUGGAGAUUCUGUGAAGGCUGAUCUGUUUCUGAAUCCUCCUUAUGCAUAGCACAUCCUCCUUAUGUUCAUCCUCCUGAGCCAGUCACAUCUGAACUCCAUUGAAC
Molecule: long non-coding RNA, 510 nt
Filed under: Marmota monax (woodchuck)
Lineage: Eukaryota; Metazoa; Chordata; Mammalia; Rodentia; Sciuridae
Source: RNAcentral